RNAcentral lists this ribosomal RNA (408 nucleotides) under uncultured bacterium. RNAcentral's name for it is "partial 16S ribosomal RNA". It matches the Rfam family "Bacterial small subunit ribosomal RNA", at positions 29 to 526 of the family's 1533-position model. The record is from RNAcentral.
AGUGAACGCUGGCGGCGUGCCUAAUACAUGCAAGUCGAACGGAGUGGCGCACGGGUGAGUAAUGUAUAGCUAAUCUGCCCUACACUAGAGGACAACAGUUGGAAACGACUGCUAAUACUCUAGAGUGUAGGAUGAGGCUAUAUUGUAUAAGCUAGUUGGUGAGGUAAUGGCUCACCAAGGCUAUGACGCAUAACUGGUCUGAGAGGAUGAUCAGUCCAACUCGAACUGAGCCACGUUCCGGACUCCUACGGGAGGCAGCAGUAGGGAAUAUGACUCAAUGGGGGAGACCCUAAAUCAGCAACGCCGCGUGGAGGAUGACACUUUUCGAGGCGUAAACUCCUUUUGUUAGGGAAGCGGUACCUAACGAAUAAGCACCGGCUAACUCCGUGCCAGCCGCCGCGGUAAUUC